Molecule: long non-coding RNA, 574 nt
Organism: Chelonia mydas (Green sea turtle)
Lineage: Eukaryota; Metazoa; Chordata; Testudines; Cheloniidae
Exons: 2
Source: RefSeq, a predicted model, not a curated record
AAAUGUCACGCAACCUUAACUAUCGAUGAUGCUACCAGUGCCCACCUAUAAUUUCAAUCAGCACUGCCUCCCCAAAAGAAGUUUUUGUUGUCGCUAGAUCCAGAAGAUAUGGCAGAACAAAGGAGGAAGAUAAUGGCACAAUGUUUAAGAAAUGGGGACUUCAAGACAUACGCUUAAGAUAACCCACAACAUAUGCAUGACAUAUGGACAUAUGUAACAGUCUCUGUUGGAAACCCAUAAACCAUGAUGCCAUUGCACCAGAUCCUCAGGUACUGUAAAUAGAGUUAUGCCAAAUUUAUACCAGCUGAGGAUCUGACCCAUUAUGUCCAAGUCUACACAUUCUUCCAAGUCCUUCUAGCCACCAUCAGUAAUCUCAUCAUUUUUGGGUUAAUGAAAAAUAUCUAGCCCCCGUAAGAACAGAGAAAGAGCAAAUAAUAGUCCUACAAACGGAAGCAUUUUGAGUAAAGGUAAAAUUACAAUGUAUUUAUGUGUCAAGUUAUCUUUUAUUACUUCAAUCCUUUGCAUUUUGUUAAAUGUUAUAUUUCAAAAUACCUUAAUAAAAAGAUUAUGUAGA